Molecule: long non-coding RNA, 488 nt
Filed under: Bos indicus x Bos taurus (hybrid cattle)
Lineage: Eukaryota; Metazoa; Chordata; Mammalia; Artiodactyla; Bovidae
Description: lncRNA (ENSBIXG00000026575.1)
Source: RNAcentral
CUUGCCAAUACAGUAUCAGUUCAGUUCAGUCGCUCAGUCAUGUCUGACUCUUUGCGACCCCAUGAAAUGCAGCAUGCCAGGCCUCCUUGUCCAUCACCAACAUAGGUAUAUCAUAAAGUAGAGUUGUUUAUAUAUUUAUUCUGCAAUAGUUUAUUGAGGUCCAUUGUAGGUUCUGGGGAUAAUAUGAAACAUCUGAAUGGCUUAUUCUAGCCCUGUGAGCUGAUAUCCAGAACUAACUUGUUAGCCCCACCCUUGGGGUGGAGAUGAGCCCAAGAACUCUUAGGAGUGAAGCAUUUCCCGCUCUCUUGCUGUUCCUCCUAAAUGUUUCCUCUGUAGCUGCAUAAGCUGGCAGGCAGCCUGAGAUGGAACCCUCCUCAGAAGACCCCCACCUCUACUGGACCACCCGGCUCCUGGGACUCACUAGCCUGCUCCUCAAGUGGAGAUUAGUCACCACUGCCUCUCAGGUCAGUUUGGAGACAGCCCGAGAC